UACAGAAAUCAACAAUGGGCCAAUUACUGAUUAUUCUGUUAAAUGCUUUAUUCCUUUCCGUUGUCACGGCCAAUAUGGAUAUGAAAUUUGGGUAUGACGUUAUUGAAGGAAAUGCCAGAUAUUCGGAAAACAUAGAAACAAAUCUAGAAAAGAAUGUAGUAAAAAUUCACACCCCAGCACACAAUGAUGUUAUGGAAUCGUACCAAAUUCAAGAUUUCAGUCAGGGUCAGCAGAUGAAAUGUCUCCCUUCCUUGAAGCAAUGCAGACUGCGGGACAUAGAAC
Long non-coding RNA from Mytilus californianus (California mussel), 282 nucleotides. RefSeq lists it as uncharacterized. The record is from RefSeq and is a predicted model, not a curated record. Lineage: Eukaryota; Metazoa; Mollusca; Bivalvia; Mytilida; Mytilidae. The transcript is spliced from 3 exons.